AGCAGCCGCGGUAAUUCCAGCUCCAAUAGCGUAUAUUAAAGUUGUUGCAGUUAAAAAGCUCGUAGUUGAAUUUCGGGGUUAGUAGGUUGGUCAUGCCUCUGGUAUGUACUGGUCUCACUGAUUCCUCCUUCCUUAUGAACCGUAAUGCCAUUAAUUUGGUGUUGCGGGAAAUUUGGACUGUUACUUUGAAAAAAUUAGAGUGUUUAAAGCAAGCUAACGCUUGAAUACAUUAGCAUGGAAUAAUGAAAUAGGACGUUCGAUCUUAUUUUGUUGGUUUCUAGGAUUGACGUAAUGAUUAAUAGGGAUAGUUGGGGGCAUUAGUAUUCAAUUGUCAGAGGUGAAAUUCUUGGAUUUAUUGAAGACUAACUACUGCGAAAGCAUUUGCCAAGGAUGUUUUCAUUAAUCAAGAACGAAAGUUAGGGGAUCGAAGACGAUCAGAUACCGUCGUAGUCUUAACCAUAAACUAUGCCGACUAGGGAUCGGAUGAUGUUAAUUUUUUAAUGACUCAUUCGGCGCCUUA
This 520-nucleotide small RNA is filed under the name uncultured Glomus. Its description in RNAcentral is "SSU rRNA". It matches the Rfam family "Eukaryotic small subunit ribosomal RNA", at positions 569 to 1090 of the family's 1831-position model. The record is from RNAcentral. Lineage: Eukaryota; Fungi; Glomeromycota; Glomeromycetes; Glomerales; Glomeraceae.